GAGCGCGUGAAACUUCUAAAAUCCUUCGGGGUGACGGUUGUGGAUCGAGCGGCGGACGGGUGAGUAACACGUGGGCAACCUGCCUGUAAGACUGGGAUAACCCCGGGAAACCGGAGCUAAUACCAGAUAAUCACUGACACCGCAUGGUGUCGAUGUAAAAGAUGGUUCUGCCAUCACUUACAGAUGGGCCCGCGGCGCAUUAGCUAGUUGGUGGGGUAAAGGCCUACCAAGGCGACGAUGCGUAGCCGACCUGAGAGGGUGAUCGGCCACACUGGGACUGAGACACGGCCCAGACUCCUACGGGAGGCAGCAGUAGGGAAUCUUCGGCAAUGGACGAAAGUCUGAUGGAGCAACGCCGCGUGAGCGAUGAAGGCCUUCGGGUCGUAAAGCUCUGUUGUUAGGGAAGAACAAGUACCGGAGUAACUGCCGGUACCUUGACGGUACCUAACCAGAAAGCCACGGCUAACUACGUGCCAGCAGCCGCGGUAAU
RNAcentral lists this ribosomal RNA (490 nucleotides) under uncultured bacterium. RNAcentral's name for it is "bacterial SSU rRNA". It matches the Rfam family "Bacterial small subunit ribosomal RNA", at positions 55 to 524 of the family's 1533-position model. The record is from RNAcentral.